UCUGGGAAUCGUAGUUUCUGUAAUGCCGUCCACCCGAGUUGGGGGUGGGUGGGAAGCAGUAAGGCGGAAAACCAUAAAUUUGCAUUAACGAAAAGGCUGACUAUGUGACGUUGGGUCUCGGGGCAAUAUUUUUUCCUCAAUCAUAGCGAGGAAUACAGCGAGAGAAACAUAACUGAAGCUAUAUCACCUGUGAACUCCUCACCUCCACCUCUCCAGGAAAAACAACAAUGAGGAAUGGAAUGCCUGACUGCCCAACUCUACUCACCUCAAGUAAGGAGUAUUUACAAAAGGUACUUG
Long non-coding RNA from Rhineura floridana, 297 nucleotides. RefSeq lists it as uncharacterized. The record is from RefSeq and is a predicted model, not a curated record. The transcript is spliced from 3 exons. NCBI's taxonomy places the organism in Eukaryota, Metazoa, Chordata, Lepidosauria, Squamata, Rhineuridae.